RNAcentral lists this ribosomal RNA (353 nucleotides) under uncultured bacterium. Its description in RNAcentral is "partial 16S ribosomal RNA". It matches the Rfam family "Bacterial small subunit ribosomal RNA", at positions 527 to 881 of the family's 1533-position model. The record is from RNAcentral.
GGAAGGUCCGGGCGNNAUCCGGAUNUAUUGGGUNUUAAAGGGAGCGUAGGCCGGAGAUUAAGCGUGUUGUGAAAUGUAGACGCUCAACGUCUGCACUGCAGCGCGAACUGGUNUCCUUGAGUACGCACAAAGUGGGCGGAAUUCGUGGUGUAGCGGUGAAAUGCUUAGAUAUCACGAAGAACUCCGAUUGCGAAGGCAGCUCACUGGAGCGCAACUGACGCUGAAGCUCGAAAGUGCGGGUAUCGAACAGGAUUAGAUACCCUGGUAGUCCGCACGGUAAACGAUGGNUACUCGCUGUUUGNCAUAUNCUGNNAGCGGCCAAGCGAAAGCGUUAAGUAUUCCACCUGGGGAGU